This 465-nucleotide ribosomal RNA is filed under the name uncultured bacterium. Its description in RNAcentral is "bacterial SSU rRNA". It matches the Rfam family "Bacterial small subunit ribosomal RNA", at positions 338 to 795 of the family's 1533-position model. The record is from RNAcentral.
CCUACGGGAUGCAGCAGUGGGGAAUAAUGCACAAUGGGCGCAAGCCUGAUGCAGCCAUGCCGCGUGUAUGAAGAAGGCCUUCGGGUUGUAAAGUACUUUCAGCGGGGAGGAAGGUGUUGUGGUUAAUAACCGCAGCAAUUGACGUUACCCGCAGAAGAAGCACCGGCUAACUCCGUGCCAGCAGCCGCGGUAAUACGGAGGGUGCAAGCGUUAAUCGGAACUACUGGGCGUAAAGCGCACGUGGGCGGUCUGUCAAGUCGGAUGUGAAAUCCCCGGGCUCAACCUGGGAACUGCAUUCGAAACUGGCAGGCUAGAGUCUUGUAGAGGGGGGUGGAAUUCCAGGUGUAGCGGUGAAAUGCGUAGAGAUCUGGAGGAAUACCGGUGGCGAAGGCGGCCCCCUGGACAAAGACUGACGCUCAGGUGCGAAAGCGUGGGGAGCAAACAGGAUUAGAUACCCCAGUAGUC